RNAcentral lists this ribosomal RNA (808 nucleotides) under uncultured bacterium. RNAcentral describes it as "bacterial SSU rRNA". It matches the Rfam family "Bacterial small subunit ribosomal RNA", at positions 62 to 855 of the family's 1533-position model. The record is from RNAcentral.
UCGACGGUAACAGGAAGCACUUGCUGCUUCGCUGACGAGUGGCGGACGGGUGAGUAAUGUCUGGGAAACUGCCUGAUGGAGGGGGAUAACUACUGGAAACGGUAGCUAAUACCGCAUAACGUCGCAAGACCAAAGAGGGGGACCUUCGGGCCUCUUGCCAUCGGAUGUGCCCAGAUGGGAUUAGCUAGUAGGUGGGGUAACGGCUCACCUAGGCGACGAUCCCUAGCUGGUCUGAGAGGAUGACCAGCCACACUGGAACUGAGACACGGUCCAGACUCCUACGGGAGGCAGCAGUGGGGAAUAUUGCACAAUGGGCGCAAGCCUGAUGCAGCCAUGCCGCGUGUAUGAAGAAGGCCUUCGGGUUGUAAAGUACUUUCAGCGGGGAGGAAGGCGAUAAGGUUAAUAACCUUGUCGAUUGACGUUACCCGCAGAAGAAGCACCGGCUAACUCCGUGCCAGCAGCCGCGGUAAUACGGAGGGUGCAAGCGUUAAUCGGAAUUACUGGGCGUAAAGCGCACGCAGGCGGUCUGUCAAGUCGGAUGUGAAAUCCCCGGGCUCAACCUGGGAACUGCAUUCGAAACUGGCAGGCUAGAGUCUUGUAGAGGGGGGUAGAAUUCCAGGUGUAGCGGUGAAAUGCGUAGAGAUCUGGAGGAAUACCGGUGGCGAAGGCGGCCCCCUGGACAAAGACUGACGCUCAGGUGCGAAAGCGUGGGGAGCAAACAGGAUUAGAUUCCCUGGUAGUCCACGCCGUAAACGAUGUCCACUUGGGAAGGUUGUGCCCCUUGGAGGCGUGGCUUUCCGGGAGCUAA